UACGUAGGUGGCAAGCGUUGUCCGGAAUUAUUGGGCGUAAAGCGCACGUAGGCGGUUCGUUAUGUCGGAUGUGAAAGCCCUUGGCUUAACCGAGGAAGUGCAUCCGAAACUGGCGAGCUAGAGUACGAAAGAGGAUCGCGGAAUUCCCGGUGUAGAGGUGAAAUUCGUAGAUAUCGGGAGGAACACCGGUGGCGAAGGCGGCGAUCUGGGUCGAUACUGACGCUGAGGUGCGAAAGCGUGGGGAGCAAACAGG
RNAcentral lists this ribosomal RNA (253 nucleotides) under uncultured bacterium. RNAcentral describes it as "partial 16S ribosomal RNA". It matches the Rfam family "Bacterial small subunit ribosomal RNA", at positions 524 to 776 of the family's 1533-position model. The record is from RNAcentral.